GAGCUCCAGGAUCUGAGCAGUCAGCAUAGAGCCCAACGCAGGGCUCAAACUCGCCAACGGUGAGAUCACGACCUGAUCCAGAGUCGGACGCCCCACUGACUGAGCCACCUAGGCGCCCCUUGUGGCUUAUCUUUACCCAGGUAUUGUAUAUUCGUAGUUCUUCUCGUGAAGGGAAUGCUUUCGGGGCCGACUCUUUUCCUGGGGACCCCGUAGCAGGCCGGGCCCCUCCUGCUGCCCCUGGGAUACCUGGAGGGCGUGAGCGCACCGGCGCCGCGGACAACUGGAACUCCCAGUUCCACCCGCAACCCGCCCCGCGGUCCCGAGCUGCCGCCUCCACGUGCUGCCUGCCACGGCGAUUCGGUGGCGCCCCCUGGUGGCCGUUACCAGUGUGGCGCUUCUGCUGCCUUUCAAUGCCACGCAGGCAUCACCUUCCCGGCUAGACUGUCGAGUCACCUCCCCAUGAAGGAAGGCAAACGAUUUUCAACAUUUUGGAUUCAGCAACAUACACCUCGGAAGAUGAAUAUGAAAAAGUCACCCUAAAGCCAAACCGCCACUUGAAAAUGUAGCAGCUAUUUAUGUAUUCACUCCGAAUCGGCUGAUGCAACGGAUCUUAGGGGCCAGGCCACCGCGAUACAAACGCGAACCGAGACAGACAAGGGCCCCACUGUUCCCCUGCACAGUGUAUUCUAGUGAAAGGAGACACAGAUAAUCAAAUUUGUUGAGCCUCACUUGAUGAUCCUGUAUACAGUUGAUCUUGACACACAUUCCACGUGCACUUGAAAAAACUGUGUAUUUUGUGCAGUUUGGGGUUUUAAGUUCUACAAAUGUCGAUUAUGGCAGUUUCUCCAUCCAUGGCAGGACUGCUCUUAUCCAGACCUCGCAGCACCUCCCCGUGGAAGCUCCCCUCAGCUCACCCACGAGAGCCUCAGUCCUCUUAGGAACUAGUUCAUCAAGGCUCCCCUGUGCCUGCCAGCCUGGACCCAGCAUCACCACGAGUUGGAGAGGAACACCCUGAAGCUACCGGAUGUCCCCACCCCUCCUGGGACGCCACCCUCAGCCAGCAGCUUGCUCUUCCGGAAGCACCUCGCGAGGGCCUCAAUUCUUGGCAUCCCCUCUGCACUGCCCCCAGACAGGCUGCUGUGGAAUGAGGAUGAACCAGGCCCCCAGGAUCCCCACCAAGCCUGGAGGAACACGUGCUCCUGCCUUAUGCCCCAUCUGCCUGCAUCUCGGAUGGGACACAGAGAUCACUGCCACCAUGUUAGCUGGUGAUGCUUCCCCCAGCCAGACUCAGAGCCACCACCCCAGUGACAGCUCGGGAAUGUCCUCCUCACAUGCCUCGUUCCUGAGCAGUAGCAGGCCACGGGGCAGAGGCCCUCUUGGAAGGUCCAAUGGGAGGGUGGGUGCCCGCCCCUCCUCAACAAGAACUUGGGCCAGUCUUCCAGUUGCUUCCUGGGCUUGAAGACCCAGGAACGCUCAGGUUCCCAGCCUGGGGUGGACAGUCGCCUCCCUGCCUUCAGCAAGUCUGAGCUCCUGGCCCCUAAGAGCCUAAGCCACCAGCCCAGCUUGGGUUCAUGUUAUUUUGUUCCAUCACUGAGCGGCAGCCCUGAUGGUGGUUUGUGGGCAUUUGUCCCCAAGACGCUCCCCUGCCAUCUGCUGGAAAGCUGUCAGGUUGAAUAGACAAACUUGGAUAUGAUAGGAAGGUGAUGGUGCCCCUAGAGGCGUGCAGUGUGGUCCCCUGUUGGGAUGUAGCUCUCGAGCUGAGCUUGAGUGAUGCCCGACCCCUGAUCUCCCCAAUCGGGGGAAGCUCAUGGUCUAGGGGGACAGGGACAGACCCAGAAACAGAAACAGAAGGUGUGAUAUGCAAGAGAAGGAUGGACCACCAACUGUGGGGGUCCAGCUCAGACCCACACCCUUUCUUGGGUGGCCGCACUUCCGGGUGUGGGUCCAGGCCUGGCUCAGUCCUCUGGCCCCCAGGCUGGUCCGCACCACACCCAGCCCCCCUGGUCUCUCUGGUGACCACGGCCAUCGCGGGUGGCAUCACAGCCCUGCCCUGUGCCCGGGGCCCAUCCUCAUCCUGGAGAGGCCCAUCUACCUCAACCCCCUCAACCCCCAGCCUGUGCCUGGGGGCUGCUCCUUAUUCCUUUGCAUGGAAGCCGGAUAACCAGCGGUUGAUGUCACCUGCCCUCUCUUGCUUCUCCAGGUGUGGCCCCUGGGCUGCAGCACCUGGGGGCUGGUUAGAAGAGCAGAAUCUCAGGCCCCAUCCCAGACCCUCCGGACCAGAACUAGCUUUUUAUCAAAACCCCUAGGUGACACCGUCAGGUGGGGAGAUGUCAAUCUCUCUCAAGCGUGGAACAGGGUGUGUGGGGCAGCUCACCAGGGAGGAAGGAGAGGAAACCGGCUGGGGCGCGGCCUCGUCUGGAAGCUUCCCCUGGGCUGGCCCCGAGGCUCCCCCUACAGCCUUGUCCGCUGCCCCCCGCUUCAUCUCCACCGAACCGAAGACCCAGGUGCUGAAGAACAGAACAGGACCGUGUCAUUUCCACAGAUCACCAAGUCCGUAGGUGAUAAAAAUUUGUUACCGAGCAACAGGAGUCCUGAGGAGCUAAAGUUCAUCUGGUAGAGAACGCUGAAAAGUUGAAAUCUUCCCCUAAAUCUCUAGUGGCUGUCUUCCGGAAGGGCUACCUAGAAAAAAGUACUGCACAAGUUAUAGAGGACACGACCUCCUACCUAGAAACCUGGCCGUCCCUGUACCGGGAGCCCCAGGUCCCCGGGGACAAGCCCAGCACUAGCCCUUGGGGCCUGAGGUCGUCGGCUCCCACCGGACCAUCACGCGGGCAACCAGACACCAGCGGGGCCGCGGCGGUCACUGUGAAUAAAUGCCGCGUAGAGGCGUGACGCCAGUCGUGAGGGGACACAGCUUUGUGCGAAGAUCACCACCUCUUCGGUCGGCGUGAACCGGGGCAGGGACGAGUCUCCACGACAGGCUGUGAAGGCCUUUGUCCCUACUGACCGUGUCUUGGGUUCUAGACCCCGCGGAGGAUCGCAGGCUGACCACAAGCGGUCAGGCGGGCGGGCGCUGACCGUCAGCGUGGAGAGGUGUUGAGAUGGCUCCUGAGGGAGGCUUCCCUGUGGGGUUAGUUCCUGGGAUCCAGCGCACAGGCCUUUGAGAUUGUAGUGUGUGGGGCGUCUGGCCUCGUCCCUCACACCUUCCAGAAACAAAACGGCCGGAGAGAUGGCACGAGGCUCUGAAAGUGGCGGGAAGGCCACAAAGGGCCGGGGAGGAAGAACGCUCCUUGUAAACCGAGCGGUAGCUGAAGGGCAGUGUGUCUGGGGGCAUUUCUGGCAAAUUCUCAGGGGACCACUCAUUCAUGACCUCGGAAUGGCAGAAAAAGCCAUCGGGCACUGAGCCCUCACAGAGCUUGGAGAGUCAUGAUCUUCUUUGGCCCUUACAAAUAAUAUAUAUAAAUAAGGAGGGCAGGGUAAGGGCUACACGUUGACCCCCGAGCAGCCCGAGACUCGCUUCUUCUUGGUGCGGGGAAGUGACACCGACAGGUGACCGGUGGGAAGUAGAAUGUGAGCUAACGCACAAGUCCAGCCCUCAGCGUGGCCACUUCCUGUCUGAUCAGAGAAAGGGCCAAGUCACAAGGUGUGACCUCACGGGCCCGUGUCAUCUCUGGAGACGAGGGACCGAACUACCUGGAAGAAACAGGCAACGAAUAAGAUGUGUUCGGAUGCGGGGCUGUGGCAAGGACACGUCCCAGGCCACGGCCCCAGAGAGUGGCGAUCCCAUUUACAGACAAGGGUUAAAUUAAAAAGCGAGGACAGGGCUGUGCACCCCACAGCACAGGCGGCCCGGGGACAGAGGGCUCUCUCGCCCUCACUGUGAUCUCACCCUUGUAACUUCUAAUCCUCCUGCCAAAUGUAGUUUUACCCUCGAACGUUAAUAAUAAAGGGUCACAGAGCCAUGGGCGAAGGGUCCGCUCCCCAAACGCUAGGGUCUAAAAAAGCGAUCAAACAAGGAGUAAUAUACUGCACGUAAAAGGCAGGGUGAGGGAGCUGGGAGCCCGGUCGCAUAACACUCCAAAAGUCGCGUAACUUUUAAGGGAAAGUCGCACCAGACACCAAAAAUCAAACCCUGAAUAGGAAAAAAGACUUAGAAAGGCAUGUGUGUUAGCUGUUUCCCGUUAGUUUGUGACAAAAUGUGGGCCGGGGUGUCUCCUGACGGGGCUGUUCACGGAGACACAAAUGCAACUCUCUGGAAGACACCAUAAAAACGGACAGCGCUGUUUCUCCAAAAUUUUAUUUUUAAUUUAAAUUACAGGGCCAGCCAGAUAUUCUGAUAAGAAAUUUACGUUUCCUCAGGAGAAAGGAAAUGCUUUCAGGGCACUGUUAACAACUGUAUACAUCUCCACCUUUUUUUUUUUUUUUUUUUUAAGGGUUAAAAA
This is a long non-coding RNA of Felis catus (domestic cat), 4442 nucleotides long. RefSeq lists it as uncharacterized. Lineage: Eukaryota; Metazoa; Chordata; Mammalia; Carnivora; Felidae. The transcript is spliced from 4 exons. The record is from RefSeq and is a predicted model, not a curated record.